GUUGUGUAUGGACACAAAUGGUUGUUGGCAGCCAUGUCAAACAUGGCUGCAUGGCUAGAGUCAAUGGUUGGUAGGUGGCAACCAUUUUUGCCGUAAUUGUUGGCCUUGACUUCUUCCCAUAGCUCUGCCUAUAAUUAGACAGAUGAAGAGCUGAGAUGUAGAGCAAGUGAAAGUGUGCGAAAACACAGAGAGAAAGAAGAGAAGAGAGAGCUUGAGAGUGUUGAGUUGAGUUGAGUUUUUCUCCUCCUCUUGUUUGUAUUGUUUGUAAGCUUGAUUAAUACAAACCAGUAGCUCCGUGGAGUAGGCAAGUUGCCGAACCACGUAAAUUGGUGUGUGGUUGAUUGCUUGAAUAUCCCAACAACUGGUAUCAGAGCUUGUUCUUGACAAAGAGGGUGUUUGAUCCAAACUCAAAAAUCAAAGUUCUCCAAACGUGUUUUUGAACAUACCAUCGUGUAGAGGACAACCGGACGAAUCCACUGUUGAAAAACCGGCGAAGAACCGACGUCCUGCAUGACCGCACGCGCCAACACGCGCCGACGACAGCACUGCCCACGCGCGACCACUCGCGCCACGCUCUCCACGCGUCGUCUUCACCCGAUUGUCUGCAAGUGAACCGGGUUGACCCGCCACGCAAGCAGCCAGUCAUCAGCCACGCCAGCAAUUCUGCACAGUCAUCCGCCACGUCAUCAGACCAGUCAGCAGCCACGUCAUCACCUGCCACGUCAGCCAAAAAGUGCGUGCCUUUUGCCACGUCAUCAAAGGUGGGCCCGGAUUUCUGACGUGGAUGACACGUCAUCUAGCCACGUCAUCACAGUGGGUUUUGAUUCAGUGUUUCGCAGACACUAUUUCGGCCUGACACGUGGCUUUAUCAGCACCGUCUGUUGACCUAAAACUUUGACUGUUAAGAUCUGAGCCAUCCGAAGUCCGAUUGGGGUGAUCUCAGUGUCGUUUCCAAUAGUUUUGGCCGUUCCGGACACAUCUGUAAGGUCAGAUUUGACAGAUUUAAAUCCGAGACAUAUUAAAAUGGCAGAUGAAAUAAAAGCUGCGGGAAUUGAAAAAUUUGAUGGAACAGAUUUUGGAUACUGGAAAAUGCAAAUUGAGGAUUAUCUAUAUGGGAAGAAACUUCAUCUUCCCUUGUUGGGGAGCAAACCAGAAAAUAUGCAAGAAGAAGAUUGGCAAAUUCUUGAUAGACAGGUUUUGGGCAUUAUCCGGCUAUCCUUGUCGAGAAGAGUAGCUCACAAUGUUACAAAAGAAAGAUCCACUGCAAGACUAAUGGAAGCUUUGUCUGGGAUGUAUGAGAAGCCCUCAGCAAAUAACAAAGUGCACCUGAUGAAGAAGCUGUUCAACUUGAAGAUGACAGAAAGCACCUCUGUGACACAACAUCUCAACAACUUCAAUACCAUCACAAAUCAAUUGUCAUCUGUUGAGAUUGAGUUUGAUGAUGAGAUCCGUGCACUCAUUUUGCUGGCUUCACUUCCAAGCAGUUGGGAAGGUAUGAGGACAGCCGUGAGCAACUCAGCUGGAAAAUCCAAACUGAAAUAUGAUGACAUUCGAGACUUGAUUUUAGCUGAAGAAGUGCGAAGGAAAGACUCAGGUGAAAGUUCAAGUUCAGGAUCAGCUCUCAACAUUAACACUCGAGGGAGGAGACAGGAUAGAGGCUUAUCCAGAGGUAGAUCCAAAUCAAGAUACAGAAGUAAAAGCAAGUUCGGACCCAGAAAGCAGGUUGAAUGUUGGAAUUGUGGCAAACCUGGUCAUUUCAUGAGGAAUUGCAUAAAACCGAAAAAACCUGAAGCUGACUCUGCAAACGCUACCACAGAUGAGGUGCAAGACGCUUUGAUUCUUGCUGUACAAAGUCCAAUUGAUGAUUGGAUUCUUGAUUCUGGUGCUUCAUUCCACUGUACACCACAUCAUGAGAUGAUGCAAAACUAUGUUGCUGGAGAUCACGGUGUAGUCUAUCUGGCCGAUGGACAACCAAUGAAGAUUGUGGGUAUAGGAGAUGUGCAAAUCAAGACAAUGAAUGGAUCUACAUGGAUCUUGCAAAAUGUAAGGCAUGUUCCUGGACUAAAGAAGAAGUUGAUCUCAGUCGGACAACUUGAUGAUAAUGGUCAUUCAAUUCUUUUUUCUGGAGGUAUGUGGAAGGUAUCAAAGGGAGCAAUGGUUUUGGCUCGUGGAAAGAAAACCGGCACCCUGUAUAUGACCACAAGAUUUGAAGACAUUAUUGCCUCUACUGAAUCAGAAAAUCAAGCACAUCUAUGGCACUGUAGACUCGGCCAUAUGAGUCAAAAGGGGAUGAAGAUACUUCAAUCAAAGGGAAAGCUGCCAGAGCUCAAAAAUGUUGAUCUAGACAUUUGUGAAAGUUGUGUUCUUGGAAAACAGAAGAAGCUCAGUUUCUUAAAGGUUGGCAGGACCUUAAGACCAAGAAAGCUAGAACUGGUACACACAGAUUUAUGGGGACCGUCUCCAGUAGCAUCUCUUGGAGGUUCUCGGUAUUACGUCACAUUCAUUGACGAUUACAGCAGAAAGGUAUGGGUCUACUUUCUGAAAAAUAAAUCUGAUGUGUUUGAAACAUUCAAGAAGUGGAAGGCUAUGGUUGAAACUGAAUCAGGCCUGAAGUUGAAAUGUUUGAGAUCCGAUAAUGGAGGAGAAUACAUUGAUGGAGGCUUCAAAGAGUAUUGUGCUGUUAAUGGCAUCAGAAUGGAAAAGACCGUUCCAGGCACACCACAACAGAAUGGCAUUGCUGAACGGAUGAACAGGACCAUCAAUGAACGAGCUAGAAGCAUGAGGUUGCAUUCAGGGUUACCUCAAACAUUCUGGGCCGACGCAGUUCAUACCGCAGUUUACUUGAUCAACCGUGGACCAUCGGUUCCUUUGGAGUUCAGACUGCCCGAGGAAGUAUGGAGAGGAAAAGAGGUACAACUCUCUCAUUUAAAGGUCUUUGGGUGUGUUUCCUAUGUUCAUAUAGAUUCUGAUGCUCGCAACAAGUUGGAUGCCAAAUCCAAGAAAUGUUUCUUCAUCGGCUAUGGAGAUGAAGAAUUUGGCUUUCGGUUCUGGGAUGAUCAGAAUAGAAAGAUUAUCAGAAGCAGGAACGUGAUCUUCAAUGAGAAAGUUCUGUACAAAGACAGAUCAAGUGCAGAAACAGAUAGGGCUGAUUCAGAUACAAGGCCACAAGGAUCUGAAUUCAUAAGAUUAGAAGGCCUUCCCGAUGUUACUGAGCAGAACAACAAUCAAGAGUCUUUACAAGAAGACUCAAGCAUAUCUGUACCCGCUACUACACAAGAAGAUGCGGAGCAAAUUGAACCAGCUGUUCGCAGGUCUUCGAGGACGAUAAAGCCCCCGCAACGGUUCACUCUUUUACUGAAUUACAUUUUGUUGACAGAUGGUGGUGAACCGCUAACUUAUGAAGAAUCCUUACAAGAUGGAAACUCAAGCAAGUGGGAGUUGGCCAUGAAGGAUGAGAUGAGUUCGUUGCUGAAGAACAAGACUUGGGAGUUAACCACACUGCCUGAAGGAAAGAAGGCUUUACAAAACAAGUGGGUUUACAGAGUGAAGACUGAGCAUGACGGAAGUAAACGGUUUAAGGCAAGACUUGUUGUCAAAGGGUUUCAACAAAAGAAAGGCAUUGACUACUCUGAGAUAUUUUCUCCAGUUGUGAAGCUCACAACAAUCAGAGUUGUUUUGGGGAUAGUAGCUGCAGAAAAUUUACAUCUUGAACAGUUAGAUGUAAAAACAGCAUUCCUUCAUGGUGACUUGGAGGAAGAUAUUUACAUGCAACAGCCAGAAGGGUUUGCAAUGCAAGGAAAGGAGAAUCAAGUCUGCAAGCUACAGAAAAGCCUAUACGGUUUGAAGCAAGCUCCAAGACAGUGGUACAAGAAGUUUGACAACUUCAUGUGCAGUUCCGGGUAUACAAGAUGCCAAGCUGAUCAUUGUUGCUAUGUCAAACAUUUUGACAACUCCUACAUCAUUCUACUAUUAUAUGUAGAUGAUAUGUUGAUUGCAGGAUCCAGCAUUGAGGAGAUUGAUAAGCUGAAACAACAGUUGUCAAAACAGUUUGAAAUGAAGGAUCUGGGAGCUGCUAAACAAAUACUUGGCAUGAGAAUCUUCAGAGAUAAAGACAAAGGCGUACUAAGGCUUUCACAAACAGAGUAUGUCAAGAAGGUUCUCAGCAGGUUUAGUAUGGAUAAUACUAAACCAGUAAGUACACCACUGGGGAAUCAUUUCAAGCUCAGCAAAGACCAGUCACCAAAAACUGAGCUAGAAAGUGGAUACAUGGAUAAGAUUCCAUACGCCUCAGCUAUCGGCUCUUUGAUGUAUGCUAUGGUCUGUACCAGACCAGACAUUGCCCAUGCAGUGGGAGUUGUAAGCCGAUAUAUGAGCAAUCCUGGAAAGCAGCAUUGGGAGGCGGUCAAAUGGAUCAUGAGGUACUUAAAAGGGUCAUCAGAGACAUGUCUCACAUUCACAGCUGGUGGUCUGAAACUUGAAGGUUUUGUAGACGCUGAUUUAGCAGGAGAUGUUGAUAGCCGAAAGAGCACUACAGGAUAUGUAUAUACUCUAGGAGGAACUGCUAUUUCCUGGAGUUCUACCUUACAAAAGAUCGUCGCUCUUUCAACAACAGAAGCUGAAUAUGUUGCAGUCUCAGAAUCUGCAAAAGAGAUCGUAUGGUUGCAGAGUUUUCUGAAAGAAUUGGGCAAGAUGAAUGAAAAGGGUACUUUGUAUAGCGAUAGUCAGAGUGCAAUCUUCCUUGCCAAGAAUCCAGCAUUUCACUCAAGGACGAAGCAUAUUCAGAUCAAAUAUCACUUCAUCCGACAAUUGCUAGACGAGGAGCAACUGAUGCUAGAAAAGAUCUGCGGAAGCAAGAAUCCAGCUGACAUGUUAACCAAAGGAGUUACUCUUGAUAAACUGAAGCUAUGUAAAGCUUCAGUUGGUCUCAAAGAUUAAAAGAUAGAUAUAGCACCAUUUGUGUCCAAGUGGGAGAUUGUUGUGUAUGGACACAAAUGGUUGUUGGCAGCCAUGUCAAACAUGGCUGCAUGGCUAGAGUCAAUGGUUGGUAGGUGGCAACCAUUUUUGCCGUAAUUGUUGGCCUUGACUUCUUCCCAUAGCUCUGCCUAUAAUUAGACAGAUGAAGAGCUGAGAUGUAGAGCAAGUGAAAGUGUGCGAAAACACAGAGAGAAAGAAGAGAAGAGAGAGCUUGAGAGUGUUGAGUUGAGUUGAGUUUUUCUCCUCCUCUUGUUUGUAUUGUUUGUAAGCUUGAUUAAUACAAACCAGUAGCUCCGUGGAGUAGGCAAGUUGCCGAACCACGUAAAUUGGUGUGUG
RNAcentral lists this long non-coding RNA (5310 nucleotides) under Populus trichocarpa (black cottonwood). RNAcentral describes it as "long non-coding RNA (PTRI_LNC002466)". The record is from RNAcentral. Lineage: Eukaryota; Viridiplantae; Streptophyta; Magnoliopsida; Malpighiales; Salicaceae.